AGUCACUGACAUUAGAUACCCGGGUAGUCCAGGGUGUAAACGCUGCAGACUUGGUGUUGGGAACCCUUCGGGGGUGCUCAGUGCCGGAGAGAAGUUGUUAAGUCUGCUACUUGGGAGUACGUCCGCAAGGAUGAAACUUAAGGAAUUGGCGGGGAGCACAACAACGGGUGGAGCCUGCGGUUUAAUUGGACUCAACGCCGGACAACUCACCGGGACGACAGCAAUAUGUAGGCCAGGCUGAAGACCUUGCCUGAAUCGCUG
This 261-nucleotide ribosomal RNA is filed under the name uncultured archaeon. RNAcentral describes it as "partial 16S ribosomal RNA". It matches the Rfam family "Archaeal small subunit ribosomal RNA", at positions 719 to 982 of the family's 1478-position model. The record is from RNAcentral.